This is a long non-coding RNA of Pogoniulus pusillus (Red-fronted tinkerbird), 1199 nucleotides long. RefSeq lists it as uncharacterized. The record is from RefSeq and is a predicted model, not a curated record. The transcript has 5 exons. NCBI's taxonomy places the organism in Eukaryota, Metazoa, Chordata, Aves, Piciformes, Lybiidae.
CGGCAGGGGCUGGACUCGGUGAUCUCCAGAGCUCCCUGCCGCCCCCAGCACUCUUGGAUUCUGCCGUCGUAAGGCAGCGCCCCGGAACCGAGGCCGCUGCAGCCAUCCCGCGCACUCGGUCGCCUCGGCCCCGGCUGGCGACCCCUAAGCACCCCCUGCCGGCACGGAAGGGCAGCAGCCGCGAAGGCGGCGCGGGCGGACAGCGGCCCCCACAGGCCAGCGGGAGGUGACGGCAGCCCUGGCCGGCUUUAACCGGGAACGGCUGGGUAGGUAGCGGCCCGUGGCGGCAGCUCUGGCCGGCUUUAACCGGGUGCGGCUGGGCAGGCAGAAGCCCCCACGGUGGCCGUAGCCCUGGCCGGCUUUAACCGGGAGCGGCUGGGCGUUGCGGCGGUGAAAGCGCUACCAGUGCGGAGAUCAACCGGCGAGUGCCCGGGGCCCAGCGCCCCUCCCCGCUGCCUGCCGCUCGUCUCUCGGCGGCUUGCUCCCACCUGCGCCGGGCCGAUCAGUGGCCAUCAGUUUGUUACUAGGAGAGAAAGCACAGCACCGCACACAAGCUUCGUGACCUUUCAGCUCAUGAAGAACAGAAGAACUUUCAAAGCUCCAGAUCUAAAUGGAAAACAUUACAGAAGAGAGAAAAAGAACAAAUAGACUCUUCACUGAAAACUGACAACGAAAGAACAAGGAGCAGAGGUGCUCAGAUGACAAUCCUGGCAGUGUCCACUAGAGGGAGCUACGGACCCAGAAGAAAAGCUGGACCUGAAAGAAGACUCAAACUGGCAGACUUUCUAGAGAUAAAAGAUGUUAUGGUACCUGCUGCUACAGGUUCAACUGCUGAAAAGCAGAAACAGCUUUUUCAGUGCUUCCUCCUGCUGAGAUCUGUAAGUAACAUUCACCUGCACUAAGAUGACAAGAAAGGCAGCUUACCUGCAAAUGCUUCUGGUUGUAGAUUGCUAAAAUCAUCACUUCUUCAUUGUGAAAUACAACAUCCAGCUCACUUUUCAGCACAGCAUCAGAGGACUUGCACACCUUCUUUGUUUCCCAGAUCUGUCGAAGAAGAGCAUUGUAUUUAUUAACAGGCUUAUUAUUAAUUAACACAUUACUCAUGUUUUAUUAAAGGACACAAUAUAAAGCUUCUUAAGAGAGCAAGGCCCUGUAAACUUGCAAGUAACACUGAUUAAAAACAAAAUCAAACUAACAAA